CUCUGAUGUCUAAUGAGGUGAGAAUGUGAAGUAAAGGCUUUGCCACGAUCAUCACACUUGCGAGGUUUCUCUCCUGUAUGAAUUCUCCUAUGUUUUGCAAAGGAUGAAGCUUGACUGAAGACCUUGCCACAAUCAUGACAUUUGUAAGGUUUCUCUCCAGCAUGAGUUCGCCCAUGAACUGCAAGGUAUGAACGAUGUCUGAAAAAUUUGCCACAUUUAUCACACUUGUAAGAUCUCUCUUUAUUAUGGAUUCUCCAAUGAUUUGCAAUAGUUGUAGUAUUACUGAAGACGUGGUGACAAUCAUUACAUUUGUAAAGUUUCCCUCUGCCAUGGAUUGCUUGAUGGUAAAUAAGCGCUGACUGCCUAUGAAAGGUUUUGCCACACUCAUUGCACUUCUAAGGUUUCUCUCCAGUAUGACGUCUAUGAUGGCAUGUGUUAACUCCUUACUGAAGGUCUUGCCACACUCAUUACGCUUCUAAGAUUUAUUUCCAGUAUGAAGUCUAUGAUGGCAUGUAAGGCAUGACUUCUGACUGAAGGUCUUGCCACACUCAUUACACUUGUAUGGUUUCUCUCCAUUAUGAAUUCUCCUAUGUCUUUCAAGGUUUGAUUUGAAUCGGAAAGUUUCAUCACAUUCUUCACACUUGUAGGGUUUCUCUCCAGUAUGAAGUCUACGAUGGCAUGUAAGAGUUGACAUAUGACUGAAGGUCUUGCCACAAUCAUUACACUUGUAUGGUUUCUCUCCAGUAUGAGUUAUCCUAUGACUUUCAAGGUUUGAUUUGAAACUGAAAGCUUUGUCACAUUCUUCACAUUCGUAAGGUUUCUUUCCAGUAUGAAUGCUACGAUGGCAUGCGAGGUAUGACUUCUGACUAAAGGUCUUGCCACACUCAUUACACUUGUGUGGUUUCUCUCCAGUAUGAAUUCUCC
Molecule: long non-coding RNA, 924 nt
Filed under: Pan troglodytes (chimpanzee)
Lineage: Eukaryota; Metazoa; Chordata; Mammalia; Primates; Hominidae
Description: long non-coding RNA NONPTRT008621
Source: RNAcentral